RNAcentral lists this ribosomal RNA (430 nucleotides) under Pseudomonadota bacterium. Its description in RNAcentral is "Proteobacteria bacterium partial 16S ribosomal RNA". It matches the Rfam family "Bacterial small subunit ribosomal RNA", at positions 355 to 776 of the family's 1533-position model. Lineage: Bacteria; Pseudomonadati; Pseudomonadota. The record is from RNAcentral.
UGGGGAAUAUUGGACAAUGGGGGGAACCCUGAUCCAGCCAUGCCGCGUGUGUGAAGAAGGCCUUAUGGUUGUAAAGCACUUUAAGCGAGGAGGAGGGUACUGGUAUUAAUACUACCAGGUACUGGACGUUACUCGCAGAAUAAGCACCGGCAAACUCUGUGCCAGCAGCCGCGGUAAUACAGAGGGUGCGAGCGUUAAUCGGAUUUACUGGGCGUAAAGCGUGCGUAGGCGGCUAAUUGAGUCGGAUGUGAAAUCCCCGAGCUUAACUUGGGAAUUGCAUUCGAUACUGGUUAGCUAGAGUGUGCGAGAGGAUGGUAGAAUUCCAGGUGUAGCGGUGAAAUGCGUAGAGAUCUGGAGGAAUACCGAUGGCGAAGGCAGCCAUCUGGCCUAACACUGACGCUGAGGUACGAAAGCAUGGGGAGCAAACAGG